Sinocyclocheilus grahami is the source of this 167-nucleotide long non-coding RNA. RefSeq lists it as uncharacterized. The transcript is spliced from 2 exons. The record is from RefSeq and is a predicted model, not a curated record. NCBI's taxonomy places the organism in Eukaryota, Metazoa, Chordata, Actinopteri, Cypriniformes, Cyprinidae.
AUUAUGUAAUCUGUAUGAAACUAAAGCGAGGUACAGUCUUUCCCGUAUCUGAGCUCUUUAUAUGCAGUCACCUGCGUGCAAACGCCCUCACCUAGAUACAAAAAAUAGAUUAAAAAAAAAAUCAAGAUUCAUCUAAUUUUCAUUGUUUUUGAAAGAAGACCUGCUAU